GCACUCAGUGGCGAACGGGUGAGUAACGCGUAGGUGACCUACCCCAAAGAGGGGGAUAACAGCUCGAAAGGGCUGCUAAUACCCCAUGUGGUUCUGUGGAUUAGAGGCCGCAGAACUAAAGGUGCAAACCGCUUCGGGAUGGGCCUGCGUCCCAUCAGCUAGUUGGUAGGGUAACGGCCUACCAAGGCGAUGACGGGUAGGGGGCCUGAGAGGGUGGCCCCCCACACUGGCACUGAAACACGGGCCAGACACCUACGGGUGGCAGCAGUAGGGAAUAUUGGGCAAUGGGCGAAAGCCUGACCCAGCGACGCCGCGUGCGCGAUGAAGGCCUUCGGGUUGUAAAGCGCUUUUGGAGGGGAUGAGGAAGGACAGUACCCUCCGAAUAAGCCUCGGCUAACUACGUGCCAGCAGCCGCGGUAAAACGUAGGAGGCGAGCGUUAUCCGGAUUUACUGGGCGUAAAGCGCGUGUAGGCGGUCCGGCAAGUUGGAUGUGAAAUCUCUCGGCUCAACCGGGAGAGGUCGUUCAAUACUGCUGGACUCGAGAGCGGUAGAGGGGGGUGGAAUUCCGGGUGUAGCGGUGAAAUGCGUAGAUAUCCGGAGGAACACCAGUGGCGAAGGCGGCCCCCUGGACCGUCUCUGACGCUCAGACGC
This 651-nucleotide ribosomal RNA is filed under the name uncultured bacterium. RNAcentral's name for it is "bacterial SSU rRNA". It matches the Rfam family "Bacterial small subunit ribosomal RNA", at positions 88 to 754 of the family's 1533-position model. The record is from RNAcentral.